GACGAAGAACGUAGCGAAAUGCGAUAAGUAGUGUGAAUUGCAGAAUUCAGUGAAUCAUCGAAUCUUUGAACGCACAUUGCGCCCCUUGGUAUCCCGAGGGGCAUGCCUGUUCGAGCGUCAUUUCACCACUCAAGCCUGGCUUGGUGUUGGGCGACGUCCCCUUUGGGGACGCGCCUCGAAACGCUCGGCGGCGUGGCACCGGCUUUAAGCGUAGCAGAAUCUUUCGCUUUGGAAGUCGGGGCCCCGUCUGCCGGAAGACCUACUCGCAAGGUUGACCUCGGAUCAGGCAGGGAUACCCGCUGAACUUAAGCAUAUCAAUAAGCGGAGGA
This 329-nucleotide unclassified non-coding RNA is filed under the name soil metagenome. RNAcentral describes it as "partial contains 5.8S ribosomal RNA, internal transcribed spacer 2, and large subunit ribosomal RNA". The stretch from base 1 to 120 matches the Rfam family "5.8S ribosomal RNA", at positions 35 to 154 of the family's 154-position model. The record is from RNAcentral.